GGCUUCGUAGCUCAGCUGGUACAGCGCUUGUCCCGUUGAGGCAUGGUGUUUCUGUCGUUGAUUCGAAUCUAGUCGAAGCCC
Molecule: non-coding RNA, 81 nt
Organism: Paragonimus skrjabini miyazakii
Lineage: Eukaryota; Metazoa; Platyhelminthes; Trematoda; Plagiorchiida; Troglotrematidae
Source: the annotation of a GenBank genome assembly